RNAcentral lists this ribosomal RNA (513 nucleotides) under uncultured bacterium. RNAcentral's name for it is "partial 16S ribosomal RNA". It matches the Rfam family "Bacterial small subunit ribosomal RNA", at positions 28 to 523 of the family's 1533-position model. The record is from RNAcentral.
GACGAACGCUGGCGGCAUGCCUAAUACAUGCAAGUCGAGCGAACAGAUGAAGUGCUUGCACUUCUGACGUUAGCGGCGAACGGGUGAGUAACACGUAAGGAAUCUACCUAUAAGCGGGGGAUAACAUUCGGAAGCGGGUGCUAAUACCGCAUAAUAUCUUCUUCCGCAUGGAAGAAGAUUGAAAGACGGCUCUGCUGUCACUUAUAGAUGACCUUGCGGUGCAUUAGUUAGUUGGUGGGGUAAUGGCCUACCAAGACGAUGAUGCAUAGCCGACCUGAGAGGGUGAUCGGCCACAUUGGGACUGAGACACGGCCCAAACUCCUACGGGAGGCAGCAGUAGGGAAUCUUCCGCAAUGGGCGAAAGCCUGACGGAGCAAUGCCGCGUGAGUGAAGAAGGCCUUCGGGUCGUAAAACUCUGUUAUAAGAGAAGAACAAAUUGUAGAGCAACUGCUACAGUCUUGACGGUAUCUUAUCAGAAAGCCACGGCUAACUACGUGCCAGCCGCCGCGGUAA